This 1410-nucleotide small RNA is filed under the name Pongo abelii (Sumatran orangutan). RNAcentral describes it as "processed transcript". Lineage: Eukaryota; Metazoa; Chordata; Mammalia; Primates; Hominidae. The record is from RNAcentral.
UCAGCCCAACAUGGCGAUGCACAACAAGGCGGCGCCGCCGCAGAUCCCGGACACCCGGCGGGAGCUGGCGGAGCUCGUGAAGCGGAAGCAGGAGCUGGCGGAAACAUUGGCAAACUUGGAGCGACAGAUCUAUGCUUUUGAGGGAAGCUACCUGGAAGACACUCAGAUGUAUGGCAAUAUUAUUCGUGGCUGGGAUCGGUAUCUGACCAACCAAAAAAACUCCAAUAGCAAAAAUGAUCGAAGGAACCGGAAGUUUAAGGAAGCUGAGCGGCUCUUCAGUAAAUCCUCAGUUACUUCAGCAGCUGCAGUAAGUGCAUUGGCAGGAGUUCAGGACCAGCUCAUUGAAAAGAGGGAGCCAGGAAGUGGGACGGAAAGUGACACUUCUCCAGACUUCCACAAUCAGGAAAAUGAGCCCAGCCAGGAGGACCCUGAGGAUCUGGAUGGAUCUGUGCAGGGAGUGAAACCUCAGAAAGCUGCUUCCUCUACUUCCUCAGGGAGUCACCACAGCAGCCAUAAAAAGCGAAAGAAUAAAAACCGGCACAGGUAUGUAUAUUAGGUUAGGCUGGGAAGUUUUUUUUAAAAACAGAAAAACGUGAUGGAGGAUUGAUCUGAAGUUAAACAAAAAACCACGAGCUGACUAUUAGAAGACACGUUAGUGCAGAAGCUUCCAGGCUGUAGAGCCCUGCUUCCCUUCUCUGACCUCACAAAGAUAAACAUCCUUCACCUGAGUUCGUGGCCAUCCACCUCUGCUCUCCCAGACCCAGUGCCUGUGACUUUGAGUAGUUUGUUCUAAAUGUGGUGACAAACAAGUCAUUUCUGUAAGACAUUGGGUCUUACUUUAUGUCAUUUUUAGUAACAGAACUGCGGGAAGACCAAGACAAUGUUGUAAUCCCUGCAAGUUGCUAACUGUGCGUUUCUCCCUUCUUAGAAUGAAUGUCUCCCCCAAAACUGGCUGGCACCAGCUUCAUCUGUGAUACCCAUCAAGAAAUGUUCUCUGGUUUUGUUUUAUGCUGAAAGUAGAACACAAGUCACAUUUCAGAUGGAGGCUGUAAAUAUCUGGCAUUUUCUUAUAUUGUUUUAUGUUUUCUUGUUUUUCUCUUGUUGUUUUUAUCUUAUUUUCUUUGGGGUUUUUUUGUAAUGCCUUUGUACAGCUCAUACUUUCCUGCUGACAUAUCUGAUCAUCUCUUUCAUGCAGUUGCCAAUAACCAUAACUGAAAAUAAUCUGGUUUAUCAUAAGUAAAAUGGGAAACUUGCCUCUGUUUUUUGCAAGGGGAGGUAAAGAGUGUUUAGUAAUUACCUAUCUUAAAUCUUUCCGAGUUGGUAGUAGAUUCAUGUUCAAGGAACAUGAAAAAUGGAAAAACAUAAGUUUAAAUCAAUUCUUUUUAAAUAACUAUUUUUAUUCUUUUGUAU